RNAcentral lists this ribosomal RNA (497 nucleotides) under uncultured bacterium. Its description in RNAcentral is "partial 16S ribosomal RNA". It matches the Rfam family "Bacterial small subunit ribosomal RNA", at positions 28 to 507 of the family's 1533-position model. The record is from RNAcentral.
GAUGAACGCUGGCGGCGUGCCUAAUACAUGCAAGUCGAGCGAACAGAUGAGGAGCUUGCUCCUCUGACGUUAGCGGCGGACGGGUGAGUAACACGUGGAUAACCUACCUAUAAGACUGGGAUAACUUCGGGAAACCGGAGCUAAUACCGGAUAAUAUAUUGAACCGCAUGGUUCAAUAGUGAAAGACGGUUUUGCUGUCACUUAUAGAUGGAUCCGCGCCGCAUUAGCUAGUUGGUAAGGUAACGGCUUACCAAGGCAACGAUGCGUAGCCGACCUGAGAGGGUGAUCGGCCACACUGGAACUGAGACACGGUCCAGACUCCUACGGGAGGCAGCAGUAGGGAAUCUUCGGCAAUGGGCGAAAGCUUGACGGAGCAACGCCGCGUGAGUGAUGAAGGUCUUCGGAUCGUAAAACUCUGUUAUUAGGGAAGAACAAAUGUGUAAGUAACUAUGCACGUCUUGACGGUACCUAAUCAGAAAGCCACGGCUAACUACGUG